Balaenoptera musculus (blue whale) is the source of this 675-nucleotide long non-coding RNA. RefSeq lists it as uncharacterized. Lineage: Eukaryota; Metazoa; Chordata; Mammalia; Artiodactyla; Balaenopteridae. The transcript has 4 exons. The record is from RefSeq and is a predicted model, not a curated record.
GCAUCCCACCCCCGCCCCCCCACCCCCAUCCCCACGCUGGCCACGCGGUGGAGGGACGCUGCGGGGAAGCCGGGAGGAAAGCGCAAACGCGCGUGUCGCCCAGGACAGCGAGACAGCGGUCAGCGGUCGGUGGGCUCGGAUUGGACAUUCCCAGCGCCUCGCUGGUCCCACGGAAAUGGAGAAAUAGCUUCGGGAAGGAAGUCUGAGAUCAGAGGGACAGCCGGUUUGGUUUCUUCUGAGGCCUCUCUCCUUGGCUUGCAGACAGCUGUGUCUUUCCUCUGUACAGGCUACUCUAUAUCAGAACAAGGCUGAGAUGGGGCCUGAAAGGUGAUGACCAUCUCUCAGAGAGCCUGGCUUUGGAGCCUGAUUGCGGUAACUAAUGAGGCUGGGAGUGUCCCCUUUGAGGAAGAGACAGUUUGGCUGCACAAGGCCUGACCUCCAGCUCCCGUCCUUGCCCUGACCUUCUGCCUGCAGCACAGCAGCCUGAGUGGUCCUUUUAAAGCAUGAGUCAGGUUGGGAUGCACAUUACUCAACACCUGUCAUCUCCCCAUCUCACUUGGAGCAAAAUUCGAACAGCCAUCCUUCUUCAAACUUUCCAGGCUUGCUCCCACCUAAGGUGGAAGAAGUUAACUACAUGAUGUCCAGACUGUAGCCAUGACAGAAGCUGCCACAAUU